RNAcentral lists this transfer RNA (74 nucleotides) under Spirochaetaceae bacterium. RNAcentral describes it as "tRNA-Arg". It matches the Rfam family "tRNA". From Rfam's summary of the family: Transfer RNA (tRNA) molecules are approximately 80 nucleotides in length. Their secondary structure includes four short double-helical elements and three loops (D, anti-codon, and T loops). Lineage: Bacteria; Pseudomonadati; Spirochaetota; Spirochaetia; Spirochaetales; Spirochaetaceae. The record is from RNAcentral.
GCUCCAUUAGCUCAGGUGGAUAGAGCGGCCGCCUCCUAAGCGGCAGGUCGUGCGUUCGAGUCGCGCAUGGGGCA